Molecule: long non-coding RNA, 467 nt
Organism: Myzus persicae (green peach aphid)
Lineage: Eukaryota; Metazoa; Arthropoda; Insecta; Hemiptera; Aphididae
Exons: 3
Source: RefSeq, a predicted model, not a curated record
AUGAUGGAUUAAUGUAUAAAGCAAUCAAAGUUGCAGGACCAUUUGGUUAGUACAUUUUUAUUCAUUUUUGUUCUUUAAUAAUUGUUUGAUAUAGAUUUUUUUUAUAGACAACGAACUCCAAGCAAGGCGUGUGUCGAAAGCCUGGUCUGGUACUGAUAUUAGUAGCGAUGAAGAUAAUUAUAACAUAGAGAACACUAAACUAAGAAAGAGAACUAUUAAAAAAAACAAGCAAGAUCAAAUAAUAAUAAAGAAAAAAAAAACAGAAGCCCUUUUUACAUUACCAAUUCCGCCAAUUAAAGACUUUGCCUCUAAGAAUGCAACUAGUCACUUGUCUCCAAAUGAAGCCACAGAACUAUUACAGUCAACUUCCAAUAAUGAAGUUGAUAACAAUUUUCCAUCUAAGGAUGCAACUAUUCACUUGUGUCAAAACGAAUCCACAGAACUAUUAUUACAGUCAACUUCCAAUA